This 253-nucleotide ribosomal RNA is filed under the name uncultured bacterium. RNAcentral's name for it is "partial 16S ribosomal RNA". It matches the Rfam family "Bacterial small subunit ribosomal RNA", at positions 524 to 776 of the family's 1533-position model. The record is from RNAcentral.
GGCGAAGGGGGCUAGCGUUGUUCGGAAUUACUGGGCGUAAAGCGCGUGUAGGCGGUUGUUCAAGUCGGGUGUGAAAGCCUUGAGCUCAACUCAAGAAAUGCACUCGGUACUGGAUGACUAGAGGACCGGAGAGGAUAGUGGAAUUCCCAGUGUAGUGGUGAAAUACGUAGAGAUUGGGAAGAACACCAGUGGCGAAGGCGGCUAUCUGGACGGUUUCUGACGCUAAGACGCGAAAGCGUGGGGAGCAAACAGG